UGCAAGUCGAACGGUAAGGCCCCUUCGGGGGUACACGAGUGGCGCACGGGUGAGUAACGCGUAUGCAACCUGCCCUGUACAGGGGGAUAGCCCGGAGAAAUCCGGAUUAAUACCCCAUAGUUUUUAUGAGUCGCAUGGCUUAUAAAAUAAAGUUUCGGCGGUACAGGAUGGGCAUGCGUGGCAUUAGCUAGUUGGUAAGGUAACGGCUUACCAAGGCGACGAUGCCUAGGGGUUCUGAGAGGAUGAUCCCCCACACUGGGACUGAGACACGGCCCAGACUCCUACGGGAGGCAGCAGUGAGGAAUAUUGGUCAAUGGGCGAGAGCCUGAACCAGCCAUCCCGCGUGCAGGAUGACGGCCCUACGGGUUGUAAACUGCUUUUAUGUACCAAGAAUGUGUUCUACGUGUAGGAUUUUGACGGUAGUACAUGAAUAAGCAUCGGCUAACUCCGUGCCAGCAGCCGCGGUAAUACGGAGGAUGCAAGCGUUAUCCGGAUUCAUUGGGUUUAAAGGGUGCGUAGGCGGCUAUAUAAGUCAGUGGUGAAAUGCUGCAGCUCAACUGUAGAACUGCCAUUGAAACUGUAUAGCUUGAGUGCGCCUGAGGUAGGCGGAAUGAGUAGUGUAGCGGUGAAAUGCUUAGAUAUUACUCAGAACACCGAUUGCGAAGGCAGCUUACUAAAGCGUAACUGACGCUGAUGCACGAAAGCGUGGGGAGCGAACAGGAUUAGAUACCCUGGUAGUCCACGCCGUAAACGAUGAUAACUCGCUGUUGGCGAUACACAGUCAGCGGCUUAGCGAAAGCAUUAAGUUAUCCACCUGGGGAGUACGAUCGCAAGGUUGAAACUCAAAGGAAUUGACGGGGGCCCGCACAAGCGGAGGAACAUGUGGUUU
Molecule: ribosomal RNA, 889 nt
Filed under: uncultured Rikenellaceae bacterium
Lineage: Bacteria; Pseudomonadati; Bacteroidota; Bacteroidia; Bacteroidales; Rikenellaceae
Description: bacterial SSU rRNA
Rfam family: Bacterial small subunit ribosomal RNA
Source: RNAcentral